GGUCUUAUUUAAAUUAUAGAAUGCAAUUCUAUAGAAGUAAUUAAAUUUAAUUACUAAGGCCU
RNAcentral lists this transfer RNA (62 nucleotides) under Pseudoglomeris magnifica. RNAcentral describes it as "tRNA-Cys". The record is from RNAcentral. Lineage: Eukaryota; Metazoa; Arthropoda; Insecta; Blattodea; Blaberidae.